CUGCUGCAGAUGCUUAAUGCCUUCGCUUCAAGAUUUGCCUAUCCAAGUAACACUUCAAAGCUCCCUAAAAAAAAAGUAACGCUUGAAAGCGCAACCAAAGAUGGAAGCAUAUAAACACCCGCGAUCCCACAACCAAAGAUAGAAGCAUAUCGUGUAAAAAAAGAAGAAGAUAGAAGCAUAGAUUUGCCAGUUUAAGCGAUCCAGUUCGCCGAAUCGAUCAGACCUACCAGGAGCAAAGCAACUAGCAAUGUCUCUAGACUGUAGAAACAGCAAGUAAUAUUUCCUUU
This 287-nucleotide long non-coding RNA is filed under the name Brachypodium distachyon (stiff brome). RNAcentral describes it as "long non-coding RNA (BDIS_LNC003934)". Lineage: Eukaryota; Viridiplantae; Streptophyta; Magnoliopsida; Poales; Poaceae. The record is from RNAcentral.